GUUGAACGCUGGCGGCAGGCCUAACACAUGCAAGUCGAGCGGAAGAAGGGCGCUUGCUCCUGGAUUCAGCGGCGGACGGGUGAGUAAUGCCUAGGAAUCUGCUUGGUAGUGGGGGAGAACGUCCGGAAACGGGCGCUAAUACCGCAUACGUUCUGAGGGAGCAAGGGGGGGGUCUUCGGACCUCACGCCAGCAGGUGAGCCUAGGUCGGAUUAGCUAGUUGGUGGGGUAAAGGCCUACCAAGGCGACGAUCCGUAACUGGUCUGAGAGGAUGAUCAGUCACACUGGAACGGAGACACGGUCCAGACUCCUACGGGAGGCAGCAGUGGGGAAUAUUGGACAAUGGGCGAAAGCCUGAUCCAGCCAUGCCGCGUGUGUGAAGAAGGUCUUCGGAUUGUAAAGCACUUUAAGUUGGGAGGAAGGGCAGUAAGUUAAUACCUUGCUGUUUUGACGUUACCAACAGAAUAAGCACCGGCUAACUUCGUG
RNAcentral lists this ribosomal RNA (484 nucleotides) under uncultured bacterium. Its description in RNAcentral is "partial 16S ribosomal RNA". It matches the Rfam family "Bacterial small subunit ribosomal RNA", at positions 28 to 507 of the family's 1533-position model. The record is from RNAcentral.